GCCUGGAUGGCUCAGUAGGUUGAGCGUCUGACUUCGGCUCAGGUCAUGAUCUCACAGUCUGUGAGUUCGAGCCCCGCAUCAGGUU
Molecule: transfer RNA, 85 nt
Filed under: Felis catus (domestic cat)
Lineage: Eukaryota; Metazoa; Chordata; Mammalia; Carnivora; Felidae
Rfam family: tRNA
About the family: Transfer RNA (tRNA) molecules are approximately 80 nucleotides in length. Their secondary structure includes four short double-helical elements and three loops (D, anti-codon, and T loops).
Source: Rfam by way of RNAcentral